Non-coding RNA from Paramuricea clavata, 1272 nucleotides. Lineage: Eukaryota; Metazoa; Cnidaria; Anthozoa; Malacalcyonacea; Plexauridae. The record is from the annotation of a GenBank genome assembly.
AAAUAAUCACGCGUGUACGUGGGCGAACUCCAAGCUUUUAGCAAGCUUAUCCUUAAAAUCAGGAAUUUUGCAUAAUUUAAGUUCUCUAAGGAAUUCUAGUUUAGGGGAAAAAUUAAGGAAUUUCAGAAUUCUCGCGAAGGAAUUGUCGCUUGCUCGCGGGAUUGAAAGGUGUGUAAAAAAUUGCACGAAAAAAACUCGCAUGAAAAUUAUAAAUAACAAUCUUUCAAAAUCUUGUAAUCCAAUUUGUUGUCAAAUUAUCCAAACCACAGAAUAGCUUUUACCAAGAAAAAGACAGAUUCCUUAUAAACGAUGACUACUUCAGCUGUAAUGAUUCUACACAGGCUACGAAGCUCGCGUCUGCCGUUUUUACCAACGGCUCAACAAGUCGUUUCAUCCUCUGGGGCUUUUCACUCCUUGCCACAUCGAAUUUCUCUGGGUUUAACAAAAUGUGUUGCUAUAACUAUACCUACUGUCUACAUCGGGGCUGAAAUGGCGAGAAUAUCUGCGUCUUUGCUAGAAGAUUGGAAUAUAUUUGUCCCUGAUGAUGACGACGAUGAUUAGAAUUUAUUGCAAUUAUUUGAAGUUUUUGAUUUGGUAAAUAUUUAUCUUUUUAGAGUCAAUUAAGUCUAUCUUGGGAAUAUAUAUAUGUAUAUAUUCUUGCCCGAUUUCUACUAUAAAGAUGGAUAAUUGAUUUUGGCAGCUUAGGUAAAACAGAUGGUUCAUCUGAUAAUUCAUCCCAGAUGUUCCAUCAUUUAUAGUAUAAACACAAGAUAAAAUAUCCCGACAAAUUAUCUGAGACAUUGAUGACAAUUUCUUGUCUACGAUGAUAUAAUGAAACUAUCAGGCAUGUUUGUUCCCAGAAACAUUACCACUAUAGAUCGCACUAUUCUAGAAUGCUGCUGAUUGAGAUACCCGAACGCACAGCUUCUCGACGAAGGGCCUUCGAUUGAAAUGUUGUUCAAUCCCUUUCAAUCUGUAGGUUUCUGGUGUUUUUCAGACUGUUCGAUUUUUAAUCACGCUAUCCUGGGUACUUCAUGUACAAGCACAUCAACAAACUAUAUCCACCACGCCCCCCUCCCCCAAGAAUAAAUGUAAAUAUCCCUGACUCGUAAGUAAUGUAUAUAUAUCUUUACUUUCCAGGUGAAAUUGAAGUGUCGAGAAGCUUAUGGUUAAUUAAUUUAUUGAACACAAACUUUAUUUUUGUAUACUUCAAUUCAUCAAGUAUUAUGAUGUAAAUAUAGUGUAUCUGGCAAAUGAAAUACAGUGAAAAAC